This 464-nucleotide ribosomal RNA is filed under the name uncultured bacterium. Its description in RNAcentral is "partial 16S ribosomal RNA". It matches the Rfam family "Bacterial small subunit ribosomal RNA", at positions 339 to 795 of the family's 1533-position model. The record is from RNAcentral.
CUACGGGGCGCUGCAGUGGGGAAUAUUGCACAAUGGGCGCAAGCCUGAUGCAGCCAUGCCGCGUGUGUGAAGAAGGCUCUAGGGUUGUAAAGCACUUUCAGCAGUGAGGAAAGGUUAAUGGUUAAUACCCAUUAGCUGUGACGUUAACUGCAGAAGAAGGACCGGCUAACUCCGUGCCAGCAGCCGCGGUAAUACGGAGGGUCCGAGCGUUAAUCGGAAUUACUGGGCGUAAAGCGUACGUAGGUGGUUUGUUAAGUUGGAUGUGAAAGCCCCGGGCUCAACCUGGGAACUGCAUUCAAAACUGGCGAACUAGAGUAUGGUAGAGGUAAGUGGAAUUUCCUGUGUAGCGGUGAAAUGCGUAGAGAUGGGAAGGAACAUCAGUGGCGAAGGCGACUUACUGGACUGAUACUGACACUGAGGUACGAAAGCGUGGGUAGCAAACAGGAUUAGAUACCCUCGUAGUC